GAAGCCAGGCCAAGAAGAAUCCCAGGACUGGAAGGCCUUGUGGGACGUCCCAGGUUUGUCUUGUGUCAAUAGCACUGAUACUCAAUCUCCUACUCCCAUCUGUGAGCAUGCAGACCCUACUUGCCUUCCCACAGCCUCCCUUUUCAUAUUUUUCAUGUUUCUUUAGCUCUGUCUUCAAGCCUUGUUGCUCCCGCAAAAAAACCUGCCUCUUCCUCCAGUCCUCCCAAGCAGGGGGAACAGUCCUGACACCUUUCCAAGCCCUGGUCCAUGGACAUUGUGCCCCCUUCUCCCUGCCCAUGGUGACCUGCUCCAAAACCCUCAAGGAGAAGGGAGUGUAUGUCAUUUCCUCCCUGUAAAGUAAAGAUAAUUUUGCAGGGGACUGUGUGGAUGAAAUGACAUGAUGCAUGGAAAUCCCUUAGCGUGUGCCUGGCAUGUAAACUGCAGGUGUCAUCAUUAUUACUGAGGAAUACUGAGUCCCGAACAUGGCUGUCUCAUUGGUGGACUGGGGUCUCCCCCAGGGCAUUCAUCUACUAUGUGUUUAUUGCACCCUUUUUCCAUGUGAGGCACAUGCCAGGGACUGGGCACAUGGUAUGAACAAGACACAGGUCAUCGGUGUCCUCUUGAGCUCCCUGGCUUGGCAGCAGAUGCAUACCUGGGAAGGAUGCUAGGUCAUCCGGGAACUCUACCUCCUUCAAAUCCCUAAGGACUGUGCUCCCAAUCCGCUUACGCUCAAGGAAGAACUGCCUGGAAGCCCUCCCUGGUACCAUACCCCAGCCGAUGAGUAUGUACCCCCAGAAGUACUUCCGCUCAGAGAAGAAGGAGACGGCAAGCAGGGUGUACAGGAAGGCCCAGAACCAGCCUGCUGUCAGGAUCAGAACAAAAGAGGAGGACUGCAUAUGUAUGGACCCACUCCAGAUGGCACGGGGACGGGGGGAGUAGGAAAAGUGGCAUGAGACCAGGCCCACAGAGUAUGGCUGUGCAAGUUGUUCACUCUACAAGGGCACCUGGCCGGGAGUCCCUCGGAUUGCUCCAGCCUCUUUGACCACUUUCCUUUGCCUUUCCACUUCCUUGAGAGAUGAGGAAAUGGAGGCACAGACUGAUUAGAAAACCAGCUCAAGGUCAUGUUGCUGCUCUCUCAUUCCUGUUGAGGGCUCUCUGGUGGAGCCUCUGUCUCACAGGUCACCUGCAGGCCAACACUCCCAGAAGCAGCUAGCACCAUGGUUGACCUCGUCCAGGUCCAGGGAAGGCCUCCCUCUCCAGGACUCCUUUAGAUUUCCCCAGCAUCCAGACCUCACCUGCCUAAGUGCUGUUGCCCUGGAAGCCACAGUGAGCACGAGCUCCAUCUUGCACCUUUACCAGCCAAUGGGGGUAAAGACAUUAGCUGCUCGCUGGACAGUCCCGUCAGACACAGACAUGAAACUCCUGCGAGAAGACCAAGCCCUGGAUAAUAUCACCACUCAUCCUGUGGCACUUCAUUACAUUCCGGCUGGGGAUAUUUGAAUAUUAGAUAUUAAGCAAUUCCUGUCAAUUUUGUUAGGUGUGUAAUGACAGUAUCAUAGUUAUAUAGAAGAGUGUCCUUUGGUUUUAGAGAUGCAUUCUGAAAUGAUUUGGGGUAAAAGGUCAGGAGGUUUAUAAUUUACUUUAAAAUACUUCAGCCCAAAAGCAAAUGAAGCAUAUAUUAAUUGUUAGAUGUUAACAAUUGUC
Molecule: long non-coding RNA, 1704 nt
Filed under: Homo sapiens (human)
Lineage: Eukaryota; Metazoa; Chordata; Mammalia; Primates; Hominidae
Description: PREDICTED lncRNA (TCONS_00191795)
Source: RNAcentral